Molecule: unclassified non-coding RNA, 721 nt
Filed under: Hevea brasiliensis (rubber tree)
Lineage: Eukaryota; Viridiplantae; Streptophyta; Magnoliopsida; Malpighiales; Euphorbiaceae
Source: RNAcentral
GUCGAUGAAGCGUUCUGCCGUCCUCUUCAAUUCCUCGCUGCUACGGCCACCGAACCUGCUUCCAUGUCUUCUCGCUCUUCCGUACUCUCUCUCUCUCUCUCUCCAAAAUAUACUAGAGUCUCGAUGUCAAGCAACAGCCAGAGUCACACUUUUCCUGGAAGCAGCAGUCUUGGAGCUUGAUGUAGCUGUGGAUGGUGAUGCAUGGCGAUCUUCUUUCUUUGAUGCCAUCACUAAACUCUUUUCUUUUCUUUCAUCAUUCUUCAUCUGUUGUUCUCUGCACUCUAGACUACAAAAAGCUGUAUCCCCCCUGUACAUGUAAAUAUCUUUCCCAGGAGCCAAGCGGCGUUUACAAAGGCCACAAGUCCUCAAGAAAUGAGCAGUCUCCAAGAAAUUGCUACCGGAGCUUGUCCUUUGGUUAUUCCUGGGUGACACCAUGGCGGCCAAGAGACGCUGAUCAUAUAAGCCAUUAAUAUUACCAUCAAAGCCACUUAUGUCGUAAUAGUUGUUAUAAUAAUUUAGACACGCUUCUUCAGGUCCCACCAGUGCAUGAUGAGGAUCUCCGAUCAUCUGGUGGUUGUGGGUAAUAUCAUCAGACGACGGCGUCUCCGGGGCAUCUACGUUGGCAAGAUCAACGGUGAUGCCGGUCAUACUUGUGGUUCUUCUGAUGGGUGGGCGUGGACGCUUCCCUAGCAACAUCUUCUCUGUGUGUGUGUGUGUGUGU